RNAcentral lists this ribosomal RNA (681 nucleotides) under uncultured nitrite-oxidizing bacterium. RNAcentral describes it as "bacterial SSU rRNA". It matches the Rfam family "Bacterial small subunit ribosomal RNA", at positions 21 to 696 of the family's 1533-position model. The record is from RNAcentral.
GGCUCAGGACGAACGCUGGCGGCGCGCCUAAUACAUGCAAGUCGAGCGAGAAGGUGUAGCAAUACACUUGUAGAGCGGCGAACGGGUGAGGAAUGCAUGGGUAACCUACCCUCGAGUGGGGAAUAACUAGCCGAAAGGUUAGCUAAUACCGCAUACGUUUCCGGGACUUCGGUGCCGGAAAGAAAGCAAUACCGUGGGUAUUGCGCUCAUGGAUGGGCUCAUGUCCUAUCAGCUUGUUGGUGAGGUAACGGCUCACCAAGGCUUCGACGGGUAGCUGGUCUGAGAGGACGAUCAGCCACACUGGCACUGCGACACGGGCCAGACUCCUACGGGAGGCAGCAGUAAGGAAUAUUGCGCAAUGGGCGAAAGCCUGACGCAGCGACGCCGCGUGGGGGAUGAAGGUCUUCGGAUUGUAAACCCCUUUCGGGAGGGAAGAUGGGAUGGGUAACCAUUCGGACGGUACCUCCAGAAGCAGCCACGGCUAACUUCGUGCCAGCAGCCGCGGUAAUACGAAGGUGGCAAGCGUUGUUCGGAUUCACUGGGCGUACAGGGUGUGUAGGCGGUUUGGUAAGCCUUCUGUUAAAGCUUCGGGCCCAACCCGGAAAGCGCAGAGGGUACUGCCAGGCUAGAGGACGGGAGAGGAGCGCGGAAUUCCCAGUGUAGCGGUGAAAUGCGUAGAGA